Long non-coding RNA from Aplysia californica (California sea hare), 1866 nucleotides. RefSeq lists it as uncharacterized. The record is from RefSeq and is a predicted model, not a curated record. The transcript has 3 exons. NCBI's taxonomy places the organism in Eukaryota, Metazoa, Mollusca, Gastropoda, Aplysiida, Aplysiidae.
UAGACGGUGCCUGCAGCUAUAAAUUUCCUUCAUCUCAACGGCAGAUCUUCAUAAUAUCAGCAACAGAAACCACCAACGUAGCCAUUCGCCGAAUUGCGAAAAUUGCACCUACCCUCGACAACUAACCCUACUAGACAUUCACCUGUCUCAGAUAAGCCACAAGAGACGCGUCUGAGAAGCAAUUUAAUGAAGUAUUUAAAGGCUACACCAGUACAACCUCGCGUCAUUAUUGUACCGCUGUCAGUUGCGAAGCUGGUUUGCAGUCAGCCGAAAGUAUCGUAGUUUGAUGCUAAUAUAUCUUGAUUACGUAACGUUGUCUUGUUCACAAGAAACAUCUUGAGCAGAUCUGAGGCUUGUUUGUAAAAUGGCUACUACCGCCUGCAUUUGCAAUCGACCUCGGCAAGAUUUCUUCAAACUUUGUUGCCCAUUGAAUAGACAACAUGCCACGGAACUGUAAAUCGAAGCAUGGAGCACGUGUAUACACCAGUGCCUCUGAUGAUGUACUCUCAAAAGCGAACAUUCUGCUGAGAGUUCUCAGAAAUAGCAGGUAAUAAUACUGGUCAUCAUCAACAUUACCUUUCUCCCCCUGCCUCAAGGUGUAGGCUACAAAACAAAUUCUUUCAACCUUUCUGUAUCCUAUUCUAGCCUCUUGAUGUUAUUGCAUGUCUUCCCACAUUCUGCAUGUCAAUUUAUGUGAAUCUCCCCCAUGUUUCACACGGCAUUCCCCUUGAUCUUUUACCCUCUGGAUUCCAAUCCGACACCACUUCUUUGUUAUGCAGCUUCCCGACUUCCUGAGAGUAUGUCCAGUCCAUCACCACCGCUUUCUUCCUACCCCAUCUCUGAUUGGGAUCUGUUUUGUUUUCCUUAACACUUCCUCUUUGGUGACCCUGUCUGUCCAUCUGAUCCUCGGUGGCUUUCUUAGACUCUUGUUCAAGAAAACAUGAAACCUCUUUAUUAUGCAAGUCUGAAAUGUGUUCCAUGUCUCACAUCCAAGCGCAGGGCUGACAUUCAAUAAUAUUUGUACCGGUAACAAUAUUUCUGUGUCGGAAGUAUUUUCGAAUCUUGAAAUGCUAUUUGGAGACCCAGCUGCUCCUGCAAUGAGACCUCGUCAAAAAAGGAUGGAUGUGGUUCCCGGGAAGAGCAUUUGUAAUAAUGGCAAAGCAAGGCCGUCUUCAUGUGUCAGUUACAAUCAAACGAAGAAGAGCUAUCAGAACAGGAAUUUCUUUCCUCUAACUCCGAGUCUGAGACUGGCGUUGAAAAUCAGGGACAAACCCGGAACCUCUCUGAAGGCUUCGUUGAACUAAAUUCCAACAAAUCUUUAGAACUUCAGAUUAAAUCUGGUUAAGUAGCAGUGAAUUUACAUGGAACAACUUCAUGCAUGUGCGGUAUUGUUAUUUUUAAUCAUGGGGGAUACAUUGCAAUUUCAAUUCGUUAAAAUUUGAUUUAAAAGAUUGUGGUUCUUCAAGUGUAAUAUUUACAAUUUUGAAAUGUGUUUUGCUUUGAAUGAAAUGCAAGGAACCAUUCUUCCCUUGUUGAAAAACAAUAAACAAUAUUAAUUCUGAACUGAUACACAAUGUCAACAUUACUAGUAGUAGUAUGAUUUAAGUCACCCUCGUGUGGAGUUUACUAUGUCAAAAAAGAACAUUAUGAGGAUGCCUGAGUCACCUUAGCCGGGGCGAUUUUUGCACUCCCCUCUUUUCCCUCAUAUUUUUUAAAAAGAAUUGGACAUAUUUUCUCUCAAAAGGGUCUAGAUCGAUACUAUCAAACCAUCCCCCAAGUUUGGACCCCAAAGAUCAACUUAAACUCACGACAUUUCAAAUUAUGAAUCAUAGAGGAUAUAAAAAUGUGUGUGUGCGUGUGAGUGUG